RNAcentral lists this ribosomal RNA (253 nucleotides) under uncultured bacterium. Its description in RNAcentral is "partial 16S ribosomal RNA". It matches the Rfam family "Bacterial small subunit ribosomal RNA", at positions 524 to 776 of the family's 1533-position model. The record is from RNAcentral.
UACAGAGGGUGCAAGCGUUAAUCGGAAUUACUGGGCGUAAAGCGCGCGUAGGUGGUUCGUUAAGUUGGAUGUGAAAGCCCCGGGCUUAACCUGGGAACUGCGUUUGAAACUGGGAGACUUGAGUGUGGCAGAGGGGGGUGGAAUUCCACGUGUAGCAGUGAAAUGCGUAGAUAUGUGGAGGAACACCGAUGGCGAAGGCAGCCCCCUGGGUUAACACUGACGCUCAUGCACGAAAGCGUGGGGAGCAAACAGG